GGGUGAGUAAUGCAUCGGAACGUACCUUUCAGUGGGGGAUAACGUAGCGAAAGUUACGCUAAUACCGCAUAUUCUGUGAGCAGGAAAGCAGGGGAUCGCAAGACCUUGCGCUGAUGGAGCGGCCGAUGUCAGAUUAGCUAGUUGGUGGGGUAAAGGCUCACCAAGGCGACGAUCUGUAGCGGGUCUUAGAGGAUGAUCCGCCACACUGGAACUGAGACACGGUCCAGACUCCUACGGGAGGCAGCAGUGGGGAAUUUUGGACAAUGGGCGCAAGCCUGAUCCAGCCAUGCCGCGUGAGUGAAGAAGGCCUUCGGGUUGUAAAGCUCUUUCGGCCGGGAAAAAAUCGCUUGGGUUAAUACCCUGAGUGGAUGAUGGUACCGGAAUAAGAAGCACCGGCUAACUACGUGCCAGCAGCCGCGGUAAUACGUAGGGUGCGAGCGUUGAUCGGAAUUACUGGGCGUAAAGCGUGCGCAGGCGGUUUUGUAAGACAGGCGUGAAAUCCCCGGGCUCAACCUGGGAACUGCGUUUGUGACUGCAAGGCUAGAGUAUGGCAGAGGGGGGUGGAAUUCCACGUGUAGCAGUGAAAUGCGUAGAGAUGUGGAGGAACACCAAUGGCGAAGGCAGCCCCCUGGGCCAAUACUGACGCUCAUGCACGAAAGCGUGGGGAGCAAACAGGAUUAGAUACCCUGGUAGUCCACGCCCUAAACGAUGUCAACUAGGUGUUGGGUGGGUAAAACCAUUUGGUACCGUAGCCAACGCGUGAAGUUGACCGCCUGGGGAGUACGGCCGCAAGGUUAAAACUCAAAGGAAUUGACGGGGACCCGCACAAGCGGUGGAUGAUGUGGAUUAAUUCGAUGCAACGCGAAAAACCUUACCUACCCUUGACAUGCCAGGAACUUGCCAGAGAUGGCUUGGUGCCCGAAAGGGAGCCUGGACACAGGUGCUGCAUGGCUGUCGUCAGCUCGUCUCGUGAGAUGUUGGGUUAAGUCCCGCAACGAGCGCAACCCUUGUCGUUAAUUGCCAUCAUUUAGUUGGGCACUUUAACGAUACUGCCGGUGACAAACCGGAGGAAGGUGGGGAUGACGUCAAGUCCUCAUGGCCCUUAUGGGUAGGGCUUCACACGUCAUACAAUGGUCGGUACAAAGGGUUGCCAAGCCGCGAGGCGGAGCCAAUCCCAGAAAGCCGAUCGUAGUCCGGAUCGCAGGCUGCAACUCGCCUGCGUGAAGUCGGAAUCGCUAGUAAUCGUGGAUCAGCAUGUCACGGUGAAUACGUUCCCGUUCUUGUACACACCGCCCGUCACACCAUGGGAGCGGGUUCCGCCAGAAGUAGGUAGCCUAACCGCAAGGAGGGCGCUUACCACGGCGGGGUUCGUGACUGGGGUGAAGUCGGAACAAGGUA
Molecule: ribosomal RNA, 1398 nt
Filed under: metagenome
Description: bacterial SSU rRNA
Rfam family: Bacterial small subunit ribosomal RNA
Source: RNAcentral